AUGUAUGAUAGACCACCAACCAGAUUAAGAAUUAGCCAUGGCUCGUAAGGUUUUCAACGUUGUGGCAUCCAUCCUCAUAUUGGCGCUCCUCGUGUCUUGUGAUGUGGUUCAAAGCACAUGCCAUGAGUAUACCAGCAAGGUCACUUGCCGUGACUCUUCGACAUGUCAUACGUGGUGCAAGUACAACGGUGCUGAUGAUGGCCACUGCAAUAAAGGUUCAUGUGUGUGCCUGGAUUGCGGGUGGCGCGUGAUGGGUUCAACUUGAGUUGUUCCUUUGUAUCCAAAAAUGUAUUUGGUGACAAGUGGUCUUCGUGCUCCUUGAAUAAUUGUGUUACAAUAAAUCAA
This is a long non-coding RNA of Aegilops tauschii subsp. strangulata, 345 nucleotides long. RefSeq lists it as uncharacterized. The record is from RefSeq and is a predicted model, not a curated record. NCBI's taxonomy places the organism in Eukaryota, Viridiplantae, Streptophyta, Magnoliopsida, Poales, Poaceae.